Homo sapiens (human) is the source of this 1625-nucleotide long non-coding RNA. Ensembl annotates it as long intergenic non-protein coding RNA 2241. The record is from Ensembl. Lineage: Eukaryota; Metazoa; Chordata; Mammalia; Primates; Hominidae.
GCCAUGUAAACGUUCUUUGCUCCUGCUUCGUCUUCUGCCGUGAUUGUGAGGCCUCCCCAGCCAUGUGGAACUACUCAUCACUCACUGCAGAUGUUACUUUAAGACAUUCUGGAGCAGCGUCAUGUGCAGGAACAAUAAGGAAGUGAGUGCUUUUGUAAUUCCUGAACAACUGUGUCUUACACUUACUAAGUUCUCUUGCCUGCCACCAUGUAAGAUAUGCUUUUACUCUUCCGCCUUCCACCGUGACUGUGAGGCCUCCCCAGCCAUGUGAAACUGCCUUUGAGCUUAUACUGAAUUAUACCACCAGCUUUCCUAGGUCUUGAAGCUUACAGACAGCAGAUCUUGGGACUUCUCAGGCACCAUAAUCAAUCAUAGAUAAAUGAUCCAAUGAUUCGGAACUUGAAAAGUGGUAGCUUUAUGAAUUCUCCUUAAGAAGAAACCUGUGCCCUGAUCUUGCCUACUCACCCAAAGGCACUGUGAGAUAGCAUCAAAGGAACAGCUAGUAAGAGACACAGAGCCAGAAAUCAGGGAAGUAAAAUACACUUGACAUCUACGUUCGGAAAGAAAUUUUAGGAGGCAGAAGCAAAUGGAUCAGAAGCUGCUUAUAUUUUUGCAAGAUUACCAAAGAAACCAUUGGUGGAGAAAGUUCUGUGACCAACUUGUCUGAGUCUAGUAAGAUUGAACGCUCACACACAAGUUUCAUGAAGUGGGUUUGAUACUUACAGAUAAGCAGCAAGGACCAACAGAAGCUGAUGAUCUAUGGUGAACUUUUUCCCAAGGCUCCGGAAAGCUGCCUAAAGUAGAUGGAGUCUUCUCUGUGUGUGCCCCACUGGUCCUGCAGUUGAAGGAUCCGGUAAAGCAGCCUGCCCUUGGUUUUAUACUCCAGAGGAACGUGAUUCGCUGGACUAAAGCAUUGAAGUGCAUCCUGUUUCCGGGGGGCACUGGAACAGAGCCUGGUCUGUUCUAGCCAGUCCCUUUCUAUCUCAGGAUAACAUUCUACAGUUAUUCUUGAGAACUAUAAUCAAAUAAGCAGGGAGAACUGGGAAAGCAGAGGCUCAUUGUGGAACCCUCAAGGAGCAUGGGGUCGUCUUCAUCCCUCAGUUUAUAAAUGGCCAAGGAGAGUAAUGCAACAAAAACUUCUCAGAGUUAAAAGCCAGAGUUCCUAAAGAACCGUGGACAAAGGGUUCUGUCUAGUGGGCAGAAUUCAUCCAGCGAAGGUGCUUACUGCACUCCCAGCAUGUGCUUGGGAACUUUAUUAAAAUUCCUUCCUAUUGAGAUUUAAAUUGCUGUCCAGAAUUAUACAAUAUAAUGAAUGGGGGCAUUCAUUAUGUGUAUUCUAUGCCUUCUCCAUCAUUGCAUAUUCAGUCCUCGUGCUAGAGAGAGGCAGAUAAUCUACCUUUUAAAUUGAUAGGUCUCCUAACUACAGAGGGUCACAUCUGGAUCUGAUGGCACCUACAGAACUUGGACUCUGAGCGACAAUCAGUGACCAGGAAAUUUGGAACCCAGGUUUUCCCAACCUACAUCUACAAAAUGGAAUGGGUCUGAUUCGCAAGUUUUCAGAGAAAGAAGCCAACCUUAAUCAGACUGUGAUAUGAUGAGGAAAUAAAACUUGCUGUGCUAAUCAA